This 491-nucleotide long non-coding RNA is filed under the name Nicotiana benthamiana. RNAcentral's name for it is "long non-coding RNA (NBEN_LNC003713)". The record is from RNAcentral. Lineage: Eukaryota; Viridiplantae; Streptophyta; Magnoliopsida; Solanales; Solanaceae.
GAAGGGGUAUCAAGAUUUAGAGAAGUAAAUAUGAAUAAUUCAAGGGGAUUCAAUACAUAGUAUAUAUACAUAAAAAAAUAAUAACCUAUCUAAACGGAGUAAUUUUCCGGAAAAGGAUUGACACUAUGUGGCUUCGUCACUGGUUAUAGAUCAAACUGCAGAAUUACACGGACCUUUCAAUAGGCUAAGUUCAAAACACUGGAGAUAGGCUAACUCAACUCGCUGGCAAUCAUCCCGAACUAAACCAUCACCUGACAGAUCUCCAUUUAACCAUUAAUGGUCAACAAAAGACAACAAUCACUCUUUUGGUUGUUUCGGAUUACAGAGUUUGAGGGGUUACUAGAAUUAUAUUCAAGAUAACCACCCCCAAACCUCAGAAAAGAGACAAACAACAACAACAACUAUCCAGUAUAGUCUCACAAGGUAGGGUCUGGGGAGGGUAAUAUGUAGACGGGCCUUACCCCUACCCGAAAGGGCAGAGAGGCUGUUUC